GGGUGCAAUGGGUUUGUGCAUCUGGCGGUUAACCAGAAGGUUGGUGGUUCGAGUCCACCCAGGGACA
Non-coding RNA from Podarcis lilfordi (Lilford's wall lizard), 67 nucleotides. The record is from the annotation of a GenBank genome assembly. Lineage: Eukaryota; Metazoa; Chordata; Lepidosauria; Squamata; Lacertidae.